GAAAUGCGAUACGUCAUGCGAAUUGCAGAAACUUGUGAGUCAUCAAAACUUUGAACGCAACUUGCACUUCCGAAAGGGAGUAUGUCUGUUGGAGUGUCUGUUCAUCCCCACUUUCGCCCCCAGCUCCGGUUGGUCAAGGCGGGCAGUGCCGGCCGCUUGUCGCACGUCUGUUUACUCGGACGACGGGCAAUCGAGUCUAGAUGAAACACCAAUCAACCGAACUCGCCCCCGCUCUUGCCAAAGAGAGCUCGGACGACGCGACGUGAGUUCAGGACUGUAAAAGGUCCGAUACAAACAACGCGUCUUGCAUCCGCAGCCUUUCUUCUGGUACACCAAAGAGAGCCUCGGCAUAACAUGAGUUCAUCCGAUCGGACCUCCAAUCAGGCAAGAAUACCCGCUG
RNAcentral lists this unclassified non-coding RNA (400 nucleotides) under uncultured fungus. Its description in RNAcentral is "sequence contains ITS1". The stretch from base 1 to 99 matches the Rfam family "5.8S ribosomal RNA", at positions 50 to 154 of the family's 154-position model. Lineage: Eukaryota; Fungi. The record is from RNAcentral.